CUCAAGGGCCACAUUCUGGCCGUUUGCAGAGCUUUCAACUGUAUCACAUGGUCUUCAUCAGUGGUUGGAGUGUGCUCAGUCGUCAUGGAGACGGUCUGUUGAGGACUCAUCAGUUCACUUUGGUGACACGAGUCAAAGAGAGCAGCGGUGCAGAGUGUGCACGCUUCUGCUGCGUGUAUCAGCUGUGGCUUCGGAUCAAUACAGAAUAUAAGCAACUAAAGAGUUAAAUAUGAUUCACGAGCUGCCCUGCAGGACGUGAAGUGAGGAAUAUAAAAUCUAUAGAGUCGUGAAGAUGAGCUCCACCUUCAGCAGCUGCAGCAGUCAACAAUUUCACUUCUGAUCACUGAGACUGUUCUCAGCGGCUGACCCCCCCAGCUCCUGCCCGCCCACAGCGCUCUGAUCCCGGCCUGCCCUGACCCUGACUGACCGGCCGGGGCGACCUUACCCCGGCUGUGGUGCGUCACCGUGGCCCGCUGACAAGGUCAAACUGAGGGGCAAAGAUUAGGCGUCUUACUUCUGUACUUGUAGUGCAGCAUACAAGAUAUUUUAGCUGCAAACGGUAUCUAAACACCGUCCACAGACACGAGACGGGCUGUAACCCAGUUACAGGUCAGUCAGAGGGCAGACCGGACUCGACUGGAAUGUUUCACCGAACUCCAUUGAAAAAUGGGUCACUUUAAGGCAAACGUGCGCAUGUGUAAACAUACAGCUCAUAGAAGAACUUCUCGCCAAUAUAUAUACGAGCAGCUCUUCAAUUCGGCAUAAAUCCAAUACAUCACGUAGCUCUCAUUUUAGUUUUUAAAAUGUAAGUUUAAAAACUGGCUCUCUCUCUAAAUAUGCUUCUCCCAAAAUAAAGCGCGGAGGGCGGUAGAGAGCAGGUCGGACUGACUCUUCAGUCCACAGUUUGCUGAAUUAAAGUGCUGCUUGCUGAGUGUUUACGUGCCGAAUUCACCAAAACAUUACACCGGUUCGUGAGAAUAUAGAUUUAUACUCUAUAUGACACAUGUCUGCCGCUGCGUUUACUAUAUUUAUGAUUUCCAAAUGGAGUUUGGAACUGAGAUGAGUGCGAACGGCGGUAAUGUUAUCGAGGUCGAAAUUAAGUGAAAGCAGCGGGCCGUCAGGCUCCAGCUGCCCCGGUAAUGGCGUCCGUCCUCCGGCAGGAGUCACCACGUAGCUUCCGCUGGCACGCAAAGAGCUACUCGAGACACAAGCUAACGUUAACCUUUUUUGGUUAAAUGUGUAAACCGCGAGUUAAACUUAGAAAA
This is a long non-coding RNA of Siniperca chuatsi (mandarin fish), 1265 nucleotides long. RefSeq lists it as uncharacterized. NCBI's taxonomy places the organism in Eukaryota, Metazoa, Chordata, Actinopteri, Centrarchiformes, Sinipercidae. The transcript is spliced from 2 exons. The record is from RefSeq and is a predicted model, not a curated record.